AGAGUUUGAUCAUGGCUCAGGACGAACGCUGGCGGUGUGCUUAACACAUGCAAGUCGAGCGAGCCCCACCUUUCGGGGUGGUGUGCUAGCGGCGAACGGGUGAGUAACACGUGGGCAACCUGCCCUCAGCUCUGGGAUAACUCCAAGAAAUUGGGGCUAAUACCGGAUAUGACUGCUGACCGCAUGGUCUGGUGGUGGAAAGAUUUAUCGGCUGGGGAUGGGCCCGCGGCCUAUCAGCUUGUUGGUGGGGUAGUGGCCUACCAAGGCGACGACGGGUAGCCGGCCUGAGAGGGUGACCGGCCACACUGGGACUGAGACACGGCCCAGACUCCUACGGGAGGCAGCAGUGGGGAAUAUUGCGCAAUGGGCGGAAGCCUGACGCAGCGACGCCGCGUGGGGGAUGACGGCCUUCGGGUUGUAAACCUCUUUCAGCAGGGACGAAGCGAGAGUGACGGUACCUGCAGAAGAAGCACCGGCCAACUACGUGCCAGCAGCCGCGGUAAUACGUAGGGUGCAAGCGUUGUCCGGAAUUAUUGGGCGUAAAGAGCUCGUAGGCGGUUUGUUGCGUCGGCUGUGAAAUCCCGAGGCUCAACCUCGGGUCUGCAGUCGAUACGAGCAAACUAGAGUGUUGCAGGGGAGACUGGAAUUCCUGGUGUAGCGGUGAAAUGCGCAGAUAUCAGGAGGAACACCGGUGGCGAAGGCGGGUCUCUGGGCAACAACUGACGCUGAGGAGCGAAAGCGUGGGGAGCGAACAGGAUUAGAUACCCUAGUAGUCC
Molecule: ribosomal RNA, 776 nt
Filed under: uncultured bacterium
Lineage: Bacteria
Description: bacterial SSU rRNA
Rfam family: Bacterial small subunit ribosomal RNA
Source: RNAcentral